UACGUAGGGGGCAAGCGUUGUCCGGAUUUAUUGGGCGUAAAGAGCUCGUAGGCGGUUUGGUAAGUCAGGUGUGAAAUCUCCACGCUCAACGUGGAGGGGCCACCUGAUACUGCCAUGACUGGAGUCCGGUAGAGGAGCACGGAAUUCCUGGUGUAGCGGUGAAAUGCGCAGAUAUCAGGAGGAACACCAGCGGCGAAGGCGGUGCUCUGGGCCGGAACUGACGCUGAGGAGCGAAAGCGUGGGGAGCGAACAGG
Molecule: ribosomal RNA, 254 nt
Filed under: uncultured bacterium
Lineage: Bacteria
Description: partial 16S ribosomal RNA
Rfam family: Bacterial small subunit ribosomal RNA
Source: RNAcentral